GCCCGGGUGGUGGAACGGUAGACACUAGGGACUUAAAAUCCCUUGCUCGCAAGAGCGUGCGGGUUCGAGCCCCGCCCCGGGCA
RNAcentral lists this transfer RNA (83 nucleotides) under Opitutia bacterium Tous-C1TDCM. Its description in RNAcentral is "Opitutae bacterium Tous-C1TDCM tRNA-Leu". It matches the Rfam family "tRNA". Rfam says of the family: Transfer RNA (tRNA) molecules are approximately 80 nucleotides in length. Their secondary structure includes four short double-helical elements and three loops (D, anti-codon, and T loops). The record is from RNAcentral. Lineage: Bacteria; Pseudomonadati; Verrucomicrobiota; Opitutia.